UACGCAGGCGGUUGAUUAAGUCUGACGUGAAAGCUCCUGGCUUAACUGGGAGAGGUCGUUGGAAACUAAUUGGCUUGAGGUGAUGAGAGGGGUGCGGAAUUCCCGGUGUAGUGGUGGAAUGCGUAGAUAUCGGGAGGAACACCAGUGGCGAAAGCGGCACCCUGGCAUUGACCUGACGCUCAUGUACGAAAGCGUGGGGAGCGAACG
Molecule: ribosomal RNA, 207 nt
Filed under: uncultured bacterium
Lineage: Bacteria
Description: partial 16S ribosomal RNA
Rfam family: Bacterial small subunit ribosomal RNA
Source: RNAcentral